RNAcentral lists this ribosomal RNA (253 nucleotides) under uncultured bacterium. RNAcentral's name for it is "partial 16S ribosomal RNA". It matches the Rfam family "Bacterial small subunit ribosomal RNA", at positions 524 to 776 of the family's 1533-position model. The record is from RNAcentral.
UACGUAGGGGGCUAGCGUUGUCCGGAAUCAUUGGGCGUAAAGAGCGCGUAGGCGGCCCGGUAAGUCCGCUGUAAAAGUCAAAGGCUCAACCUUUGAAUGUCAGUGGAUACUGCCGGGCUAGAGUCCGGAAGAGGCGAGUGGAACUCCUGGUGUAGCGGUGGAAUGCGCAGAUAUCAGGAAGAACACCAACGGCGAAGGCAGCUCGCUAGGACGGUACUGACGCUGAGACGCGAAAGCGUGGGGAGCGAACAGG